This 479-nucleotide ribosomal RNA is filed under the name Microhyla mukhlesuri. RNAcentral's name for it is "partial large subunit ribosomal RNA". The stretch from base 165 to 479 matches the Rfam family "Bacterial large subunit ribosomal RNA", at positions 568 to 1033 of the family's 2925-position model. The record is from RNAcentral. Lineage: Eukaryota; Metazoa; Chordata; Amphibia; Anura; Microhylidae.
CUGAAAACCUAGCUUACUUUAUUUUUAUGAAUAUACCACCAUAACACAUACUAAAUAAAACAUUUUGUACAUUGAGUAAAGGCGAUUAAAAAAUGUCUAAAAGCUAUAGAAACUAGUACCGCAAGGGAAAAGUGAAAUAUUAAUGAAAAACCUCAAGCACAAAAAAGUAGAGCUAUAACCUCGUACCUUUUGCAUCAUGGUCUAACUAGUUCAACCAAGCAAAAUGAAUUUUAAGUUUGACUUCCCGAAACUAGGUGAGCUACUUAAAAACAGCCUUACGGGCCAACCCGUCUCUGUUGCAAAAGAUUUGGAAAAUUUUUAAGUAGAGGUGACAGACCUACCGAACCUAGAGAUAGCUGGUUAUUCAGGAAAAGGAUUUAUUUCCUACAUUAAGUUUACUGUACAUUAUAAUACACAACUAACUUUAAGAGCUAUUCAAAUAAGGUACAGCCUAUUUGAAGCAGGAUACAACCUCCACA